GCACCCGUAGCUCAAUUGGAUAGAGUAUAUGACUUCGGAUCAUAGGGUUGCAGGUUCGAGCCCUGCCGGGUGCA
Molecule: transfer RNA, 74 nt
Filed under: Verrucomicrobiota bacterium
Lineage: Bacteria; Pseudomonadati; Verrucomicrobiota
Also listed under: 2 other names
Description: Verrucomicrobia bacterium (rhizosphere metagenome) tRNA-Arg
Rfam family: tRNA
About the family: Transfer RNA (tRNA) molecules are approximately 80 nucleotides in length. Their secondary structure includes four short double-helical elements and three loops (D, anti-codon, and T loops).
Source: RNAcentral